Molecule: small RNA, 16 nt
Filed under: Arabidopsis thaliana (thale cress)
Lineage: Eukaryota; Viridiplantae; Streptophyta; Magnoliopsida; Brassicales; Brassicaceae
Description: ATSL254450
Source: RNAcentral
AUAGAAACUUGAAAAC